AAAAAAAAAAAAAAAAAAGAAUCAAAGCUUUAAAAUCCAGCAGAAGUAAAAUUUCCAAGUGGGAGGGAAGAGGAUCAACAGGAGAAUCUGCAAGAGUAAAAGAGGAAGAAGAUGUGUGCUGCAUGGCACAAAAUGAAUCUGCAAAGCAUCUGGGAACUGCAGACCCUACUGAUGCCUGGAACUCACUGGAGUCAGCAUGUCCAGGCAGUCAUUGUAGCAAGUCAGAGUGGUGUGAUGAAAUGCUUCAGGAGAAAAACAUUUCACCACAGCCUGGUUCACUCAGAUACCUUGCCAGGGAACCAACAUCUCACUCGGGCCUCUGAUAUUGUAACUGUGGGCCUUUAAGAAACAACGGAAAACCCAACUGAAUAAAAACUGACCUCCUUUGUGGCUGCCCUGAUGGAAGGGGCUCAGGAGCAACAGCCUUCAUGGUGCCCACCCUCUGGGCCAGAACAACGGAUGCCCCACAACUGAGUUUAGUGCCUCCAAGAACCACAGCUUUUUUUUGCAGCAGUAAGAGCAUACCUCUGAGGCACUGUGAAGAAUCUGAUAGUCGAACUGAAUGAAGCCAAGUCCAGUCUUUACGGAAAAAUUUACACAACACUUCCAGGUUGGAGUGCAAUGGCGUGAUCUUGG
RNAcentral lists this long non-coding RNA (636 nucleotides) under Homo sapiens (human). RNAcentral describes it as "HSALNT0337087". The record is from RNAcentral. Lineage: Eukaryota; Metazoa; Chordata; Mammalia; Primates; Hominidae.